This 295-nucleotide long non-coding RNA is filed under the name Bemisia tabaci. RNAcentral describes it as "lncRNA ENSSSA2NGG002655". Lineage: Eukaryota; Metazoa; Arthropoda; Insecta; Hemiptera; Aleyrodidae. The record is from RNAcentral.
CAAGUCGUACACAGGCAUAAUUUGAAAAUAUCUGGGUCUUUAUCUUUAGAUUCUGGUAUCUUUCAAUGUAUUGCCAAAAAUGAUGCUGGCAAUAUUCAAACUGCUGUUAAGCUGAUCGUUUUAAACACAGGCCAAGAAAUUCCUGAUCUCAUCAGUUCUGAAAAAUCCUCUUCUCUAGCUCCUAUCAAUCCUUCCUCAUUCUCAGGUGAAGCAUCAAAACCAAAACUCCAAGGUGCCUUACCUGCCCCAAGGAAUUUAAGGGCUAUUACGGUGUCAAGAAGAUUUGUAGUCUUAC